RNAcentral lists this ribosomal RNA (253 nucleotides) under uncultured bacterium. RNAcentral's name for it is "partial 16S ribosomal RNA". It matches the Rfam family "Bacterial small subunit ribosomal RNA", at positions 524 to 776 of the family's 1533-position model. The record is from RNAcentral.
UACGUAGGGGGCAAGCGUUGUCCGGAAUCAUUGGGCGUAAAGAGCGUGUAGGCGGCCCGAUAAGUCCGCUGUGAAAGUCCAGGGCUCAACCCUGGAAUGCCGGUGGAUACUGUCGGGCUAGAGUCCGGAAGAGGCGAGUGGAAUUCCUGGUGUAGCGGUGAAAUGCGCAGAUAUCAGGAGGAACACCAACGGCGAAGGCAGCUCGCUGGGACGGUACUGACGCUGAGACGCGAAAGCGUGGGGAGCAAACGGG